GUGCCAGCAGCCGCGGUAAUUCCAGCUCCAAUAGCGUAUAUUAAAGUUGUUGUGGUUAAAAAGCUCGUAGUUGAACCUUGGGCCUGGCUGGCCGGUCCGCCUCACCGCGUGCACUGGUCCGGCCGGGCCUUUCCCUCUGUGGAACCCCAUACCCUUCACUGGGCGUGGCGGGGAAACAGGACAUUUACUUUGAAAAAAUUAGAGUGCUCCAGGCAGGCCUAUGCUCGAACACAUUAGCAUGGAAUAAUAAAAUAGGACGCGCGGUUCUAUUUUGUUGGUUUAUAGGACCGCCGUAAUGAUUAAUAGGGACAGUCGGGGGCAUCAGUAUUCAACUGUCAGAGGUGAAAUUCUUGGAUCAGUUGAAGACUAACUACUGCGAAAGCAUUUGCCAAGGAUGUUUUCAUUAAUCAGGAACGAAAGUUAGGGGAUCGAAGACGAUCAGAUACCGUCGUAGUCUUAACCAUAAACUAUGCCGACUAGGGAUCGGACGGUGUUAUUCAUGACCCGUUCGGCACCUUACGAGAAAUCAAAGUGCUUGGGCUCCAGGGGGAGUAUGGUCGCAAGGCUGAAACUUAAAGAAAUUGACGGAAGGGCACCACCAGGGGUGGAGCCUGCGGCUUAAUUUGACUCAACACGGGGAAACUCACCAGGUCCAGACACAAUAAGGAUUGACAGAUUGAGAGCUCUUUCUUGAUUUUGUGGGUGGUGAUGCAUGACCGUUCUUAGUUGGUGGGGUGACUUGUCUGCUUAAUUGCGAUAACGAACGAGACCUUAACCUGCUAAAUAGCCCGCAUUGCUCCGGCAGUGCCGCUGGCCU
This 817-nucleotide ribosomal RNA is filed under the name uncultured fungus. RNAcentral describes it as "SSU rRNA". It matches the Rfam family "Eukaryotic small subunit ribosomal RNA", at positions 564 to 1388 of the family's 1831-position model. Lineage: Eukaryota; Fungi. The record is from RNAcentral.